RNAcentral lists this ribosomal RNA (472 nucleotides) under uncultured bacterium. RNAcentral describes it as "bacterial SSU rRNA". It matches the Rfam family "Bacterial small subunit ribosomal RNA", at positions 26 to 507 of the family's 1533-position model. The record is from RNAcentral.
UGGCUACGAGGACGAACGCUGGCGGCGUGCUUAACACAUGCAAGUCGAACGGUAAGGCCCUUCGGGGUACACGAGUGGCGAACGGGUGAGUAACACGUGGGUGAUCUGCCCUGCACUUCGGGAUAAGCCUGGGAAACUGGGUCUAAUACCGGAUAGGACCAUGGACUUCACGGUUUGUGGUGGAAAGCUUUUGCGGUGUGGGAUGGGCCCGCGGCCUAUCAGCUUGUUGGUGGGGUAAUGGCCUACCAAGGCGACGACGGGUAGCCGGCCUGAGAGGGUGUCCGGCCACACUGGGACUGAGAUACGGCCCAGACUCCUACGGGAGGCAGCAGUGGGGAAUAUUGCACAAUGGGCGCAAGCCUGAUGCAGCGACGCCGCGUGAGGGAUGACGGCCUUCGGGUUGUAAACCUCUUUCAAUAGGGACGAAGCGCAAGUGACGGUACCUAUAGAAGAAGCACCGGCCAACUACGUG